RNAcentral lists this ribosomal RNA (254 nucleotides) under uncultured bacterium. RNAcentral's name for it is "partial 16S ribosomal RNA". It matches the Rfam family "Bacterial small subunit ribosomal RNA", at positions 524 to 776 of the family's 1533-position model. The record is from RNAcentral.
UACGUAGGGUCCGAGCGUUGUCCGGAUUUAUUGGGCGUAAAGAGCUCGUAGGCGGCUCAGUAAGUCAGAUGUGAAAACUCAGGGCUCAACCCGGAGACGCCAUCUGAUACUGCUGUGGCUUGAGUCUGGUAGGGGAUCACGGAAUUCCUGGUGUAGCGGUGAAAUGCGCAGAUAUCAGGAAGAACACCGAUGGCGAAGGCAGCUCUCUGGGACGGUACUGACGCUGAGACGCGAAAGCGUGGGGAGCGAACAGG